This 1019-nucleotide small RNA is filed under the name Drosophila ananassae. RNAcentral describes it as "GF28062". Lineage: Eukaryota; Metazoa; Arthropoda; Insecta; Diptera; Drosophilidae. The record is from RNAcentral.
AGCGAAUUUGAACGCUGCUCGAACUUUAUUCAACGUGUUGGUCUCGUCGCGAGUACACUGAGGUACGGCCUGUCGAACAAGGUUGUGUCGUGUUGCGUUGAAAGUUACAAGUCCCCCCUAGUAGCUACUUCCCAGCUAUUUAUCUUUUUAUUUUUGCCAACAAAUAGCAAAAAACUGUAAUGACUAAACCCCCAGAACCCCCCAAAACAAAUCUAUAUCUUAUAAAAACACAUAUAUACUGAACACCCCUUCCAAAUGAAAAAUAUAAAUCGCGAAUAAAAUAUUUCCAAAAAAAAAAUCAAAAUCAAAACAAAACCAGAGAUCGUACAAUAUUUUUUUCAAGUGUUGAACAAAGAAAAAAAAAGUGCUUUAGCAACAAAACCAACAACAACAACUAAAAUACCACAAUGCCUUACCACAGCUUUACGCUUUAGUGUCACAAAAGUGUGUUUUUUUGUUAAAAAAAUUCCUUUCGAAAAAAAAAAAUAUAGAAGGAAAAAAAAAGUGCAGCCUUUUUUCGAAAACUAAACCCCAAAACCCAAACAGGUGUCUGUCGCCUGGAAAACAGUGUUGGAAAGCGGUGUAUGAAGCAAAGAGAGAGAGAGAGAGAGAGAGAGAGAUACAAUCCAGCAGGUGGAAUCUUCCCCUAGAGCUCUGGUCGGCUCGACUCGGCUCGGAGCGGCGAUUUGUGCAUUUUUUUAAUGAUUCGCUGCCGAGGUGCCGGCUGUUCAACGUUCAACGCAUUCGCUCGGCCCCCGCGAUCUGAGCAACAACACACACUAAAAAAUAAUUAAAAAUAAUAAUAAUAAAAAAUACAAAAUAAAAAGAAAUCUUAAUCGAUGGAUCGGCCAUAUAACCAAACCCCAGAGAACCAAAACUUGACGAUAAAAAAAUAUCCAACUCAGUCCUAGAGCAAAAAAACAAACAUCAACUUGUGAUAAAAAACAAACUAAAAAAACAAAAGUGAAAACAGAGUAAAGUGUGUGCCUCCGAUAACAGAUCGGGUUUAAAAGCCCAGA